GGGGCUGUAGUUCAGUGGUAGAAUGCUUGCCUAGAAUGCUUGCGGUACUGGGUUCAACCCUCAGCACCA
Molecule: transfer RNA, 69 nt
Filed under: Ictidomys tridecemlineatus (thirteen-lined ground squirrel)
Lineage: Eukaryota; Metazoa; Chordata; Mammalia; Rodentia; Sciuridae
Description: Spermophilus tridecemlineatus (thirteen-lined ground squirrel) tRNA
Rfam family: tRNA
About the family: Transfer RNA (tRNA) molecules are approximately 80 nucleotides in length. Their secondary structure includes four short double-helical elements and three loops (D, anti-codon, and T loops). Further hydrogen bonds mediate the characteristic L-shaped molecular structure. tRNAs have two regions of fundamental functional importance: the anti-codon, which is responsible for specific mRNA codon recognition, and the 3' end, to which the tRNAs corresponding amino acid is attached (by aminoacyl-tRNA synthetases). tRNAs cope with the degeneracy of the genetic code in two manners: having more than one tRNA (with a specific anti-codon) for a particular amino acid; and 'wobble' base-pairing, i.e. permitting non-standard base-pairing at the 3rd anti-codon position.
Source: Rfam by way of RNAcentral